RNAcentral lists this transfer RNA (23 nucleotides) under Leskeodon cubensis. RNAcentral describes it as "partial tRNA-Phe". Lineage: Eukaryota; Viridiplantae; Streptophyta; Bryopsida; Hookeriales; Daltoniaceae. The record is from RNAcentral.
AAAGCCGGAAUAGCUCAGUUGGG